CCGAGUGCCUGCAAUUGCAGGCGCGCGCCACCACGCCUGACUGGUUUUCAUACUUUUUUGGUGGAGACGGGGUUUCGCUGUGUUGGCCGGGCUGGUCUCCAGCUCCUAACCGCGAGUGAUCCGCCAGCCUUGGCCUCCCGAGGUGCCGGGAUUGCAGACGGAGUCUGGUUCACUCAGUGCUCAAUGGUGCCCAGGCUGGAGUGCAGUGGCGUGAUCUCAGCUCGCUACAACCUCCAUCUCCCAGCCGCCUGCCUUGGCCUCCCAAAGUGCCAAGAUUGCAGCCUCUGCCCGGCCACCACCCCGUCUGGGAAGUAAGGAGCGUCUCUGCCUGGCUGCCCAUCGUCUGGGACGUGAGGAGCCCCUCUGCCUGGCUGCCCAGUCUGGAAAGUGAGGAGCGUCUCUGCCCGGCCGCCAUCCCAUCUAGGAAGUGAGGAGCGCCUCUUCCCGGCAGCCAUCCCAUCUGGGAAGUGAGGAGCGUCUCUGCCCGGCCGCCCAUCGUCUGAGAUGUGGGGAGCGCCUCUGCCCCGCCGCCCCGUCUGGGAUGUGAGGAGCGCCUCUACCCGGCGGCGACCCCGUCUGGGAGGUGAGGAGCGUCUCUGCCCAGCCGCCCCGUCUGAGAAGUGAGGAGACCCUCCGCCCAGCAUCCGCCCCAUCUGAGAAGUGAGGAGCCCCUCCGCCCGGCAGCCGCCCCGUCUGAGAAGUGAGGAGUCCCUCUGCCCGGCAGCCACCCCGUCUGGGAAGUGAGGAGCGUCUCCGCCCGGCAGCCGCCCCGUCCGGGAGGGAGGUGGGGGGGUCAGCCCCCCGCCCGGCCAGCCGCCCCGUCCGGGAGGGAGGUGGGGGGGUCAGCCCCCAGCCCGGCCAGCCGCCCUGUCCGGGAGGUGAGGGGCGCCUCUGCCCAGCUGCCCCUACUGGGAAGUGAGGAGCCCCUCUGCCCAGCCAGCCGCCCCGUCCGGGAGGGAGGUGGGGGGGUCAGCCCCCCGCCUGGCCAGCCGCCCCGUCCGGGAGGUGAGGGGCGCCUCUGCCCGGCCACCCCUACUGGGAAGUGAGGAGCCCCUCUGCCCAGCCACCACCUCGUCUGGGAGGUGUACCCAACAGCUCAUUGAGAACGGGCCGGGAUGACAAUGGCGGUUUUGUGGAAUAGAAAGGGGGGAAAGGUGGGGAAAAGAUUGAGAAAUCGGAUGGUUGCCGUGUCUGUGUAGAAAGAAGUAGACAUGGGAGACUUUUCAUUUUGUUCUGUACUAAGAUAAAUUCUUCUGCCUUGGGAUCCUGUUGAUCUGUGACCUUACCCCCAACCCUGUGCUCUCUGAAACAUGUGCUGUGUCCACUCAGGGUUAAAUGGAUUAAGGGCGGUGCAAGAUGUGCUUUGUUAAACAGAUGCUUGAAGGCAGCAUGCUCGUUAAGAAUCAUCACCACUCCCUAAUCUCAAGUACCCAGGGACACAAACACUGCGGAAGGCCGCAGGGUCCUCUGCCUAGGAAAACCAGAGACCUUUGUUCACUUGUUUAUCUGCCAACCUUCCCUCCACUAUUGUCCUAUGACCCUGCCAAAUCCCCCUCUGCGAGAAACACCCAAGAAUGAUCAAUAAAAAAAAUAAAAAUUAAAAAAAAAAAAAAAAAAAAUACAAAAAUUGGCUGGGCGUGGUGGCGGGCGCCUGUAAUUCCCAGCUACUCAGGAGGCUGAGGCAGGAGAGUCACUUGGACCUGAAAGGCGGAGGUUGCAGUGAGCCAAGAUCUCGCCACUGCACUCCAGAGCAAGACUCUGUCUCAAUAAAUAAAUAAAUGGAAUGUCCAUACUUCCCAAGUCCCAAGUCUCUGUCUUAAACUCAGAGUUGGUCAUCUAGGAGUAAACAGCCUCCUAAUGGAAUUGCUUCGUUCCUCUCGCCCUCCUUCCCUCCCUUGAGGCCUAAAAGAUUUGGAGAAUUUAGGUUAUCAGGGGAUGUUCAGUGCCUCCCCCAAAAAGAAUCUGAACUGUGCUCCUUGGGCAGUUGGCCAACACCUAAUAAAUGAUGAGGUCAUCCCCCCCCAGGAAUUUGUAAGCGUUCUUCCUUCCACCUUCCCCGCAUAAUGAGAUCUUAAAGAGCAGAGAAAUUCCAUAUUCCAUGUUGCUGUCAACCGGGCUUUAUGCUGCUGGGCAUCACGGUAAGGGAACAGCAAUAUCGUUUAUUAUCUUCAACUCAUUUUUCCAGUGCCAGGGGCUGCACCCAAGCUAGAGUGACCAUGGAGAAACAGGGAGACAAAGGAAUAACAUUACUCCAUAUAGUGCUAGAG
RNAcentral lists this long non-coding RNA (2267 nucleotides) under Homo sapiens (human). RNAcentral describes it as "HSALNT0342378". The record is from RNAcentral. Lineage: Eukaryota; Metazoa; Chordata; Mammalia; Primates; Hominidae.